Non-coding RNA from Pelobates cultripes (western spadefoot toad), 215 nucleotides. NCBI's taxonomy places the organism in Eukaryota, Metazoa, Chordata, Amphibia, Anura, Pelobatidae. The record is from the annotation of a GenBank genome assembly.
UAGAAACAUAGAAUGUGACGGCAGAUAAGAACCAUUCGGCCCAUCUAGUCUGCCCAAUUUUCUAAAUACUUUCAUUCCCUGGCCUUAUCUUAUAGUUAGGAUAGCCUUAUGCCUAUCCCACGCAUGCUUAAACUCCUUUACUGUGUUAACCUCUACCACUUCAGCUGGAAGGCUAUUCCAUGCAUCCACUAGCCUCUCAGUAAAGUAAUACUUCC